CGCGUAGGCGGGGGACCAAGUCCGGGGUGAAAUCUUUCGGCUCAACCGGAAAACUGCCUUGGAUACUGGUCUUCUUGAGGGAGGUAGGGGCAAGUGGAACUUCCGGUGGAGCGGUGAAAUGCGUUGAUAUCGGAAGGAACGCCGGUGGCGAAAGCGACCUGCUGGAUCUCUUCUGACGCUGAGGCGCGAAAGCUAGGGGAGCGAACG
Molecule: ribosomal RNA, 207 nt
Filed under: uncultured bacterium
Lineage: Bacteria
Description: partial 16S ribosomal RNA
Rfam family: Bacterial small subunit ribosomal RNA
Source: RNAcentral